AGCUCCAAUAGCGUAUAUUUAAGUUGUUGCAGUUAAAAAGCUCGUAGUUGGAUUUCGGGUGGGACCCGCCUGUCCGCCUUUGGGUGUGCACGGGCGCGGUCGCACCUUGCUGGCGGAGACGGGCUCCUGGGCUUCAUUGUCCGGGACCCGGAGUCGCCGAGGUUACUUUGAGUAAAUUAGAGUGUUCAAAGCAGGCCUACGCUCUGAAUACGUUAGCAUGGAAUAACACGAUAGGACUCUGGCCUAUCUUGUUGGUCUGUGGGACCGGAGUAAUGAUUAAGAGGGACAGUCGGGGGCAUUCGUAUUUCAUUGUCAGAGGUGAAAUUCUUGGAUUUAUGAAAGACGAACUUCUGCGAAAGCAUUUGCCAAGGAUGUUUUCA
RNAcentral lists this ribosomal RNA (380 nucleotides) under uncultured eukaryote. Its description in RNAcentral is "SSU rRNA". It matches the Rfam family "Eukaryotic small subunit ribosomal RNA", at positions 587 to 972 of the family's 1831-position model. The record is from RNAcentral.